Molecule: ribosomal RNA, 253 nt
Filed under: uncultured bacterium
Lineage: Bacteria
Description: partial 16S ribosomal RNA
Rfam family: Bacterial small subunit ribosomal RNA
Source: RNAcentral
UACGUAGGGAGCGAGCGUUGUUCGGAAUUACUGGGCGUAAAGCGCGCGUAGGCGGUUUUUCAAGUCAGUGGUGAAAGCCCGGGGCUCAACCCCGGAAUAGCCUUUGAAACUGGAAAACUAGAAUCUUGGAGAGGUCAGUGGAAUUCCGAGUGUAGAGGUGAAAUUCGUAGAUAUUCGGAAGAACACCAGUGGCGAAGGCGGCUCGCUGGACAAGUAUUGACGCUGAGGUGCGAAAGCGUGGGGAGCAAACAGG